ACAUUACCCAACAUCCCCCAACUCUGUUUUUGUACUGCACCUAACCCAUCUCUCUCUCUCUCUCUCUCUCUCUCUCUCUCUCUCUCUCUCUCACAUGUUCAGUUUCAAAGCACCAAGGACUUAGCUCCAUAACUUGUCUUCACGAUUUUCUCUCUUUCCACGCUUUCUAAAGUUGAAUAUCCACCUUUUGAUUCUUGCUGAUAUUCAUGCACUUAAAAGCCCGGACACUUAUAAAUUCCUUCUCAUUUGUCCCUAACUUUCUUGCUCUUUGAGUAUUUUAGACUCCAUUUACAUCUUAUACUUAAGAACAUGUCCAGCCUAAGGUCAAGAUCUAGGCAAUCAGGUGGUGCAAGAAUCUCGGACGAUCAGAUUAAUGAUCUCGUUUCGAAGUUGCAACAGCUUCUCCCCGAGAUUCGUAACAGUAGACGUUCUGACAAGGUACAUAUAUCUAUCUCGUUUCCUCUUAAGUCUGGUUUCUCUUUCAUAUGAGAUCUCUAUCAAAAGAGGAAAAAUAGACUUAAAUCUAAUUAAACAAUUCAGAAUUAAGUGGUUUCUUUCCAUAUAAAGAAAAGCAAAAAGGUUAAGCAAAUAAUGAUGCUAAUGAGUCAAGUAGUUUGUAAUUGAAUGCAGCCGCUACAAUAUUUUACUAUUUUGAUCAAGAAAAAAGAGAGAGAGAGAGUAGAGAUUGAUUUGAUUGCGGGGCGCAUUUUCAUAUAGUUGUUCCAUCUAUUUCUCUCUUGAUUGAUUUAAUUCCCUAUAUAUAUAUAUAUAUAUAUUUUUUUUUUUCAAGUAAUAAAAAUGAAAUAUUAUAUAUAUGGACCCAGGUUUCAGCAGCCACGGUGCUACAGGAAACGUGCAACUAUAUAAGAAGCUUGCACAGGGAAGUGGAUGAUCUAAGUGAGAGGCUGUCUGAGCUUUUGGCAACAACUGACAGUGCCCAAGCUGCUGUGAUCAGGAGCUUACUUUCGCAAUAGAAGGAAGGAUGGCUAUCAUUAAUUACUUUAAUUAAUAGAGUAUCAUCACUUAAUUAUGUAAUAAGGGCAUCGAUCGAUCGGUCUUUUUCGUCUCUGAUCUAUUCUCUCUAUGUUUUUCUAGGGUUUUUGUUCAGUAGAUUAAAAUUAUGACGGUCUCUAGAAGAUCCUUUUGCAAAGCUGUGUACUACUUACUGGGUUAAUUAAGGAGUUGAUAUAAUAAAAGGACUCGACUAGUUCUUGCAACCAUUUGAGCC
This 1228-nucleotide long non-coding RNA is filed under the name Prunus dulcis (almond). Its description in RNAcentral is "sRNA ncRNA". Lineage: Eukaryota; Viridiplantae; Streptophyta; Magnoliopsida; Rosales; Rosaceae. The record is from RNAcentral.